AAGAAUUCUCAGUAACUUCUUUGUGUUGUGUGUAUUCCACUCACAGACUUGAACCUUCCUUUAGAGAGAGCACAUUUGACACACUCUUAUUGUGGAAUAUGCAUGCAGAGAUUUCAAGCUCUUUCUGGCCAAGGGUAGAAAAGGAAAUAUCUUCGUAUAAAAUCUAGACAGAAUCAUUCUGAGAAACUACUUUUUGAUGUGUGCGUUCAACAUACAGAGUUUAACCUUUCUUUUCAUAGAGCUGUUUAGAAACACUCUCUUUGUAAUAUCUGCAAGUGGAUAAUUGGAGUUCUUUGAAGCCUUCGUUGGAAACGGGAUUUCUUCAUAUAAUGUUAGACAGAAGAAUUCUCAGUAACUUCUUUGUGUUCUGUGUAUUCAACUCACAGAGUUGAACCUUCUUUUAGAAGGAGCAGAUGUGAAAACCUCUUUUUGUGAUAUUUGCAGUUGGAGAUUUCGAGCGCUUAUACGCCAAAAGUAGAAAAGGAAAUAUCUUCGUAUAAAAUAUAGACAGAAUCAUUCUCAGAAACUACUUUGUGAUGGGUGCGUUCAAUUCACGGAGUUUAAACUUUCUUUUGAUUGAGCAGUUUGGAGACACUCUCCUUGUAAAUUCAGCAAGUGGAUAUAUGGACCUCUUUGUGUCCUUCGUUGGAAACGUGAUUUCUUCGUAUAAUGUUAGACAGAAGAAUUCUCAGUAACUUAUUUCUGUUGUGUGCAUUCAACUCACAGAGUUGAACUUUCCUUUAGACAGAGCAGAUUUGAAACACUCUUUUUGUGGAAUUUCCAUGUGCAGAUUUCAAUCGCUUUGAGGCCAAUGGUAGAAAAGGACAUAUAUUCGUAGAAAAACAAGAGAGAAUCAUUCUCAGAAACUACUUUGUGAUGUGUGCGUUCAACUCGCCGAGUUUAACCUUUCUUUUCAUAGAGCAGUUUGGAAAAACUCUCUUUGUAAAGUCUGCAAGUGGAUAUUUAUACCUCUUUGAGGCCUUCUUUGGAAACGGGAUUUCUUCAUAUAAUGCUAGAAAGAAGAAUUCUCAGUAACUUCUUUUUGGUGCCUGUAUUCAACUCACAGAAGUGAACCAACCUUUAGACCGAGCAGAUGUGAAACACUCUUUUUG
This 1112-nucleotide long non-coding RNA is filed under the name Homo sapiens (human). Its description in RNAcentral is "HSALNT0073166". Lineage: Eukaryota; Metazoa; Chordata; Mammalia; Primates; Hominidae. The record is from RNAcentral.